GAAAGCGUGGGGAGCAAACAGGAUUAGAUACCUGGUAGUCCACGCCGUAAACGAUGUCGAUUGGAGGUUGUGCCCUUGAGGCGUGGCUUCCGGAGCUAACGCGUUAAAUCGUCCGCCUGGGGAGUACGGCCGCAAGGUUAAAACUCAAAUGAAUUGACGGGGGCCCGCACAAGCGGUGGAGCAUGUGGUUUAAUUCGAUGCAACGCGAAGAACCUUACCUGGUCUUGACAUCCACAGAACUUUCCAGAGAUGGAUUGGUGCCUUCGGGAACUGUGAGACAGGUGCUGCAUGGCUGUCGUCAGCUCGUGUUGUGAAAUGUUGGGUUAAGUCCCGCAACGAGCGCAACCCUUAUCCUUUGUUGCCAGCGGUUAGGCCGGGAACUCAAAGGAGACUGCCAGUGAUAAACUGGAGGAAGGUGGGGAUGACGUCAAGUCAUCAUGGCCCUUACGACCAGGGCUACACACGUGCUACAAUGGCGCAUACAAAGAGAAGCGACCUCGCGAGAGCAAGCGGACCUCAUAAAGUGCGUCGUAGUCCGGAUUGGAGUCUGCAACUCGACUCCAUGAAGUCGGAAUCGCUAGUAAUCGUAGAUCAGAAUGCUACGGUGAAUACGUUCCCGGGCCUUGUACACACCGCCCGUCACACCAUGGGAGUGGGUUGCAAAAGAAGUAGGUAGCUUAACCUUCGGGAGGGCGCUUACCACUUUGUGAUUCAUGACUGGGGU
RNAcentral lists this ribosomal RNA (724 nucleotides) under Enterobacter sp. B14. RNAcentral's name for it is "bacterial SSU rRNA". It matches the Rfam family "Bacterial small subunit ribosomal RNA", at positions 755 to 1481 of the family's 1533-position model. The record is from RNAcentral. Lineage: Bacteria; Pseudomonadati; Pseudomonadota; Gammaproteobacteria; Enterobacterales; Enterobacteriaceae.